UGGGGAAUAUUGGACAAUGGGCGAAAGCCUGAUCCAGCCAUGCCGCGUGAGUGACGAAGACCUUAGGGUUGUAAAACUCUUUCGUCGGGGACGAUAAUGACGGUACCCGGAGAAGAAGCUCCGGCUAACUUCGUGCCAGCAGCCGCGGUAAUACGAAGGGGGCUAGCGUUGUUCGGAUUUACUGGGCGUAAAGCGCGUGUAGGCGGGUCGUUAAGUUGGGGGUGAAAUCCCGAGGCUCAACCUCGGAACUGCCUUCAAAACUGGCGACCUGGACUUGUAGUGACGCUGAGACGCGAAAGCGUGGGGAGCAAACAGGAUUAGAUACCCCCGUAGUCCCUGAGCGGGCUGGCAAGGCGCAU
This 359-nucleotide ribosomal RNA is filed under the name uncultured bacterium. RNAcentral describes it as "bacterial SSU rRNA". It matches the Rfam family "Bacterial small subunit ribosomal RNA", at positions 355 to 825 of the family's 1533-position model. The record is from RNAcentral.